AUGAAGAACGCAGCGAAAUGCGAUAAGUAAUGUGAAUUGCAGAAUUCAGUGAAUCAUCGAAUCUUUGAACGCACAUUGCGCCCAUUAGCAUUCUAGUGGGCAUGCCUGUUCGAGCGUCAUUUCACCACUUAAGCCCUGUUGCUUAGCGUUGGGAGCCUACGGCACUGCCCGUAGCUCCCUAAAGUGAUUGGCGGAGUUGGUUCUCACUCUAGGCGUAGUAAAUCUAUCUCGCCUCUGUAGUGGUUCCGGCCCCUGCCGUAAAACCCCCUAUAUCAAAGGUUGACCUCGGAUCAGGUAGGAAUACCCGCUGAACUUAAGCAUAUCAAUAAGCGGAGGAAAAGAAACCAACAGGGAUUGCCCUAGUAACGGCGAGUGAAGCGGCAACAGCUCAAAUUUGAAAUCUGGCUUUCGGGCCCGAGUUGUAAUUUGUAGAGGAUGAUUUUGGCGCGGUGCCUUCCGAGUUCCCUGGAACGGGACGCCUUAGAGGGUGAGAGCCCCGUACGGUUGGACACCAAGCCUCUGUAAAUCUCCUUCGACGAGUCGAGUAGUUUGGGAAUGCUGCUCUAAAUGGGAGGUAAAUUCCUUCUAAAGCUAAAUACCGGCCAGAGACCGAUAGCGCACAAGUAGAGUGAUCGAAAGAUGAAAAGCACUUUGAAAAGAGGGUUAAAUAGCACGUGAAAUUGUUGAAAGGGAAGCAUUUACUACCAGACCUUCUCCUGGCGGAUCAUGCGGUGUUCUCACCGCUGCACUUCGCCUGGUUUAGGCCAGCAUCGGUUUUCGUAGGGGGAUAAAAGCUUUAGGAACGUAGCUCCCUCGGG
RNAcentral lists this ribosomal RNA (818 nucleotides) under Xylariaceae sp. ARIZ FL1774. RNAcentral describes it as "eukaryotic LSU rRNA". The stretch from base 281 to 818 matches the Rfam family "Eukaryotic large subunit ribosomal RNA", at positions 1 to 549 of the family's 3401-position model. The record is from RNAcentral. Lineage: Eukaryota; Fungi; Ascomycota; Sordariomycetes; Xylariales; Xylariaceae.